RNA transcript from Meleagris gallopavo (turkey), 3587 nucleotides. It is a transcript of the gene named ubiquitin conjugating enzyme E2 W, with no coding region annotated. The record is from RefSeq and is a predicted model, not a curated record. NCBI's taxonomy places the organism in Eukaryota, Metazoa, Chordata, Aves, Galliformes, Phasianidae.
AGGAGCGAGCCCGGACCCCUGUUGUGGAGAGGGAAGAAAGUGAGAGGGCAGCGGCCUUGUGGGAAAGGUGAGGGGAGCAGGGCUCAGGGAGCGAGCUGCGUUGGCCUAGCGAGGAUGGCCCCGACCCGGAAGGUCCUCGGAGGUGAGAAAAGAUUACAAAAAGAACUAUUGGCAUUGCAAAAUGAUCCGCCUCCUGGAAUGACUCUAAAUGAAAAGAGCGUACAGAACUCAAUUACACAGUGGAUUGUAGACAUGGAAGGUGCUCCAGGAACGCUAUACGAAGGGGAGAAAUUUCAACUUCUAUUUAAGUUCAGUAGCCGAUAUCCUUUUGAUUCGCCUCAGGUCAUGUUUACUGGUGACAAUAUUCCUGUUCAUCCACAUGUUUAUAGCAAUGGUCAUAUCUGUUUGUCCAUUCUAACAGAAGACUGGUCUCCAGCUCUCUCAGUGCAAUCUGUUUGUCUUAGCAUUAUUAGCAUGCUUUCCAGCUGCAAAGAAAAGGUCUUUUCUUCUGUUGCAGAGGCGACCUCCAGAUAACUCAUUUUAUGUAAGAACAUGUAACAAGAAUCCAAAGAAAACAAAAUGGUGGUAUCAUGAUGACACAUGUUGAUGCCACCAUUUUGUGAUCCUCGUAGCAGAAGAUAGUCCUACUGAGAAAACGAGCACUUUGAUCAUUCAGUCUUUGAACUUUAACCUUUGACUGGAAGUGACCUAUAGGCAAAGAAGACUACUUCCUUUGACUGCAUUUUUACUAGUGUGCAUUCUGGGCGCAUGUUGAUCGCUGGUUCAGUCCAUGCAACUGACAUGCUUUUAUUAGUCAUACAGUAUUAAUGCAGGUGUCCAGAAAUGUCAGAAUAAUUCCAUUAUUUUUAUUUUAAGCUUUUGGAAGAAUUCCAGGUCUUCAUAUAUUGUGCAAUAACACUGAACUCCUUUGCGGUUUUGGUGCAUCCAUUGCCGGCAAUGGACAUUGUACCAGGGAAAGGUUUUGCUCCUGCCACAAAAAGAUUGAUGCAUAAUAGAGCUUGGGAAAGUUUCAGAUAUUUGAAUUAUAAGCAAGGGAUCUACCUGUACCUUAAAAGCCACCCCAUUCUUUUGUAUUUGGAUUCUAUGCACUGUGAUCACAAAACUAGCAGCAUGAGUUAACAUGCUUAGCUGAAGGACUGUAAUAAGAUCAUUGCAUAUUUAUUAAAUUGUUUGUCUGCUGUCAAAUUGUUUUGACAUGGAAGGUUUUUCAAGUGACAUUGGCAGGGAGGUACAAUGUUAUCCCUAUGGUGAAAUAAAACUACUUUUUGUAUAUAGUUAUUCAUAUCUCUGAAGCAAAGGUAUGAGUAAUUUAGGGUAUGAAUGAUUUAAUCAAGAAUUUAUUUUGGAGAUAAGAGAGGAUGGCAGUGAUAUAACUGAACUUGCUGCAGUCCAUAAUUGGGCUUGUAAUUUGUACUUUAGAGCUUUUUCCAAAUAGAUUGCACACUGUUAUUUCCUGCUAGCCAUCAGCAUGAGCCCUACUGCCUACACCAAUAUUUCAUUUAUUUAUGUGUUUGAAAGAAAUCAUAUAACAUUUUUGUUUGCAUUCACUGUUUCUUUUGUUGUAUGUCAUGUUUGAAUGUUACAAAAUAUUUUGAUUGAAAAGCUGAAAAGUCUGAAGUUAUUUUCAUGUAAAUUAUUUCUUGUAAGCAUCACCUUGUCUUUUAAUCCUGUACUAUAAAAAGAAAAAAAAUACAUUUUUGACAGAGGCUUAAUGUUUUGACAAAAAAGUGUGGACCUUCUUAUUUAAGUUUAGACUAAAGUAUAUUUUCUUAACUUGCUUGUCCCUCACAACCAUUAUGUUUUUGUUUGUUUUGUUUUUCCUCCAGGUUUUUACUUCACCCCUUCCCCCCUUUUCCCCCCCCCAAAAAAAAAGAUGAAAAAUCCUAAAACCAGAUUGAUGUAUUUUCUAUGGAGCAACAUUUUAUUGAAAUAAUAGAUAGUUGUUCUCACCACUCUGUAAUAUUUUGAUAUUGCAAUUAGGUUAUCUUUUUAGGAAGCACUUUUAUAAACUUAAUACCUUUACACGUAUGCAAAAUUUCUAUGACUUUUAUUUUUACUGUUGCCUUACUGUUGCACUCAAAAGUAAAGAAUCAAGUGGUCAAUAUGUGAAUGUUUAGAUGAAGCGACUACUUGAUUAAAAAAAACAAACAGAAAAUCAACAGUGACACAACCCAGACUGAAUAACUUCAAAAACAAAAUUGGCUGAUAGUACUGAAUUUUUUAACUGCUGUAUAAUAACUGACAAAUUUUAUAGCCUUGUACAUACUUCUCUGUAAUCUAAUGUUUAAAACAUUUUUAAAAAUCACAGAAGCAUAACUCAGGGUGGAUAGAGUUCAAAUGGAUUUGCUUUGGAGAAGUAUUUUGUACAGCAAUUAUUGAUAUUGUCAGUAAGGUGAGGCUACAAUAUGCUUCAGGAACUGCUAUUUUUUCUACUAUAUUGAAAAUAUCUCUUGGCCUUUAAAACGCAAUGGUAAAAUCUAGUUUUGGAUAUAAAUUUGAUGUGUAUAUAUACUUUCACAAAGAGCCUUUAAAAUCUAGAAUUCAGAUUCUUUUAAGAGCCAAAAAUAAUCAUUUUAAGCAAAUGAAGUAGUUGUGCUCCUAACUUUUUAUUUAGAUAAACUUUAUUGCUUUAAGUUAAUCAAAUCUGUUAUUUUUGGAAACGUGUCAUAUGAAUGAGCAGUGAUCUGAAUAUUUAAUCUGUAUAUUCUUGUUAACUGCUCUCUAUUAUUGAUUGAAAGGAUUGUCAUAUGAAUGAGCAGUGAUCUGAAUAUUUAAUCUGUAUAUUCUUGUUAACUGCUCUCUAUUAUUGAUUGAAAGGAUUGUCACAUCUUUGAGCAAUUCAUGUAUUUUCAUACAGCUGGUUCACAUAACGGAUCCUUUCAGAUUGUCCACAGUGAAGAGACCUUAUUUUGAUACAAGGUAAUGUGUCUGAAGAAAUGAUUAAAGUGCAUUUUCUCAGAUACUUAAAUCUUUUCAUAUGUUGGAUUGCCGUUCUACAAUACAUGAUUUCAAAGAAGCUUUAUGACAUACUGUAUGUAUUUUGUUGGAGUUGUGCGAUGUAAUGCAAAGCGUUGUUUUUUUUGAUCUAUGCUAUCACAUGGACUACAAUGAAGUUAACUAAAUUUAUGCUGCUCUUCAAUGAAAUCCUCUGUAAUAAGAGAAAAAGAAAUCCAAGGUAGAUUAGAAUUUACCUCAAGUCUUUUAGUUUACAGUAGAAAUGCAUUCAUUGGUUCUCUUGUAGAUUUACUGGUAAGUUCUCCUAUAUAUAGAGGGCAAGGACAAGGCUUACAUACCACUCAAGCCCUCAAAUUAAUGCAACUAUUCUGACAAUACUAUGGUGCCGUGAAAGGAGGUUUAAAUUAGAUGAGGGCGUUGCCAUCCUUUCCAUAGGGUGAGCCUGUGUAUGUAACUUUCUUUUGCUUGGAGUUUCUCACAUGAAGUGGUUACAGAAUUGGCUUGAAAUGGUCUUGCUUUUAUUUUGUGUCAAUGUUAAUGUUGUUAAACACUUUGUUUUUGUGUUUAGUGUCUUUAUACUAUACCACAAUAAAUUCUUGUUUUAAAAUAGA